AAAAAGAGCACCAGCGGCUCUUUUCUUCAUCUUCUCGUCCAGAAUGAAGUCGCAAGCUAUGAUAGUUCAUACGAUCCGAUGUUUUGGCCAAAUUACAAAUAAUUGAUGGUUUGCAUGACAGAAUUGGACGAUUUUUACCAAAAGGUUUGGAGAACCUAUUAGGGCUUUCAUGAGCCAUGAAGCAACUUCAGUGGAAGAGGCUUCUUCAAAGACAGAACUUAAACUAUAGAGUUAGUAUCGGUAUAGUGCAGUACUUCUUAUAACUGAUAAGGCGUUAUUGACUAACCACAUAGGUUUCUUCUUCAUUAAUUUUCACAUGUGCUUAGAUACCAAGUCACAAAAGUUAUAAGCACUAACUUGCUCCUCUGCUUUAGUCACUUUCUUAAUAUCAACAAGUAGACACGCUUAAGCAGCAUUA
Non-coding RNA from Nicotiana tabacum (common tobacco), 418 nucleotides. Lineage: Eukaryota; Viridiplantae; Streptophyta; Magnoliopsida; Solanales; Solanaceae. The record is from RefSeq and is a predicted model, not a curated record.